GACGAACGCUGGCGGCGCGCCUAACACAUGCAAGUCGAACGAGCGGGAGAGAGCUUGCUUUCUUGAGCGAGUGGCGAACGGGUGAGUAACGCGUGAGGAACCUGCCUCAAAGAGGGGGACAACAGUUGGAAACGACUGCUAAUACCGCAUAAGCCCACGGUGCCGCAUGGCACAGAGGGAAAAGGAGCAAUCCGCUUUGAGAUGGCCUCGCGUCCGAUUAGCUAGUUGGUGAGGUAACGGCCCACCAAGGCGACGAUCGGUAGCCGGACUGAGAGGUUGAACGGCCACAUUGGGACUGAGACACGGCCCAGACUCCUACGGGAGGCAGCAGUGGGGAAUAUUGCACAAUGGGGGAAACCCUGAUGCAGCGACGCCGCGUGGAGGAAGAAGGUCUUCGGAUUGUAAACUCCUGUUGUUGGGGAAGAUAAUGACGGUACCCAACAAGGAAGUGACGGCUAACUACGUG
This 466-nucleotide ribosomal RNA is filed under the name uncultured bacterium. RNAcentral describes it as "partial 16S ribosomal RNA". It matches the Rfam family "Bacterial small subunit ribosomal RNA", at positions 28 to 507 of the family's 1533-position model. The record is from RNAcentral.